RNAcentral lists this ribosomal RNA (449 nucleotides) under uncultured bacterium. RNAcentral describes it as "partial 16S ribosomal RNA". It matches the Rfam family "Bacterial small subunit ribosomal RNA", at positions 354 to 796 of the family's 1533-position model. The record is from RNAcentral.
GUCGAGAAUCUUUCACAAUGGGGGCAACCCUGAUGGAGCGACGCCGCGUGGAGGAUAAGGUCUUCGGAUUGUAAACUCCUGUCAUGCGUGAACAAGGUUGCUUGGUUAAUACCUGGGCAAAUUGAUGGUAACGCAAGAGGAAGAGACGGCUAACUCUGUGCCAGCAGCCGCGGUAAUACAGAGGUCUCAAGCGUUGUUCGGAAUCACUGGGCGUAAAGGGUGCGUAGGUGGCGUGGUAAGUCAGUUGUGAAAGCCCGGGGCUCAACCUCGGAACUGCAUCCGAUACUGCCAUGCUAGAGUACUGGAGAGGUGACUAGAAUUCUCGGUGUAGCAGUGAAAUGCGUAGAUAUCGAGAGGAAUACCAAAGGCGUAGGCAGGUCACUGGACAGUUACUGACACUGAGGCACGAAGGCCAGGGGAGCGAACGGGAUUAGAAACCCUGGUAGUCC